AUGUGUAUCCCAAAGGAGAAAGGCGGUAUGGGCUUUCGUGACAUUCAUAGUUUCAACCUGGCGAUGCUAGCCAAACAAUGUUGGAGAUUGAUUGAAAAUUAUGACUCUUUGUGUGCUAGGGUGAUGCGUGCAAGAUAUUACCCCUCAGGGGAUAUUCUGAACAGUACGGUAAAGAAAUGGUCUUCUUUUGUUUGGCAAAGCAUUUAUGCGGGGAUUCAGACUUUCAAGAAAGGAUGCAUAUGGAGAGUUGGAGAUGGUAUGAAAGUAAACAUAUGGAAUGAUUGUUGGAUACCAAAGAGUCCUUCUCGGAAAAUUAUCACAGUCCACAGAAAUUGUGUCUUGAUGCUUGUGAAUGAGCUUAUAGAUCCUAUCACUGACAAUUGGGAUGAAUCGUUAACUCGUGAAAACUUUUGGCACAUUGAUGCGGAGAGUAUAUUGCAGAUCCCAUUACCACACCAUGAGAUAGAUGAUUUUGUUGCGUGUCAGUUUACGAGGAAUGGUGUAUUUACUGUACAUUCAGCUUACUAUAAAGAAUGGGAAGAUCAAUUUGGAACCAAAGUGGGUACUGACGGAGGACAAACCAGUAAUCUAAACCAUCCUGUGUGGAAGAAGCUUUGGAGUCUCAAGUUGCCGGGAAAGGUUAAAAUCUUCGUAUGGAGAUGUUUACAUAAUACAAUUCCAUUCCUGAGCACUUUGGCGAAUCGUCACAUCCCAACGCAGUGCCCCGUGUGCCAAGGUGCAGCGGAAGAUUCACGCCACGCGUUAUUCACAUGUAGACGGGUAAAGAUGAUCUGGAGAGCACUGGGUUUGCAUGAAAUGAUAGAGGAUGCGGCCCUAGUAGAUCGUUCGGGCGCAGCGAUAUUGGAAUUCCUUCUGUGUGACAGGAAAUUUCAGGAACCAUAUGAUGGACAAGUGGGUUUUCCUAUAAUGUUUGCAGUAACUUGA
Molecule: ribosomal RNA, 945 nt
Filed under: Triticum aestivum (bread wheat)
Lineage: Eukaryota; Viridiplantae; Streptophyta; Magnoliopsida; Poales; Poaceae
Description: partial small subunit ribosomal RNA
Source: RNAcentral